GAUGAACGCUGGCGGCGUGCCUAAUACAUGCAAGUCGAGCGAACAGACGAGGAGCUUGCUCCUCUGACGUUAGCGGCGGACGGGUGAGUAACACGUGGAUAACCUACCUAUAAGACUGGGAUAACUUCGGGAAACCGGAGCUAAUACCGGAUAAUAUAUUGAACCGCAUGGUUCAAUAGUGAAAGACGGUUUUGCUGUCACUUAUAGAUGGAUCCGCGCCGCAUUAGCUAGUUGGUAAGUUAAAGGCUUACCAAGGCAACGAUGCGUAGCCGACCGGAUAGGGUUGUCGGCCACACUGGAACAGAGACACGUUCCAUACGCGUCAGGAAGGCAUCAGUAGAGAGUCUUCCGCAAUGGGCGAAAGACUGACGGAGCAAUGCCGCGUGAGUGAUGAAGGUCUUCGGAUCGUAGAACUAUGUUAUUAGGGAAGAACAAAUGUGUAAGUAACUAUGCACGUCUUGACGGUACCUAAUCAGAAAGCCACGGCUAACUACGUG
This 497-nucleotide ribosomal RNA is filed under the name uncultured bacterium. RNAcentral's name for it is "partial 16S ribosomal RNA". It matches the Rfam family "Bacterial small subunit ribosomal RNA", at positions 28 to 507 of the family's 1533-position model. The record is from RNAcentral.